AGAGUUUGAUCCUGGCUCAGGAUGAACGCUGGCGGCGUGCCUAACACAUGCAAGUCGAACGGGUGUGGUAUCAGGGAAAAGGGGUUUACUUCUUUGACCAGAUAACACACUAGUGGCGGACGGGUGAGUAACGCGUGGAUAACCUGCCUUAUACAGGGGGAUAACAGGGAGAAAUUCUUGCUAAUACCCCAUAGGUAUGUCUGACGCAUGUUGGACAUAUUAAAGCUUUGGCGGUAUAAGAUGGGUCCGCGUCUGAUUAGCUAGUUGGUGGGGUAAAGGCCCACCAAGGCGACGAUCAGUAGCCGGCUUGAGAGAGUGGACGGCCACAUUGGGACUGAGACACGGCCCAAACUCCUACGGGAGGCAGCAGUGGGGAAUAUUGCACAAUGGGGGAAACCCUGAUGCAGCGACGCCGCGUGAAGGAAGAAGGUCUUCGGAUCGUAAACUUCUAUCAGCAGGGAAGAAGGAAGUGACAGUACCUGAGUAAGAAGCCCCGGCUAACUACGUGCCAGCAGCCGCGGUAAUACGUAGGGGGCGAGCGUUAUCCGGAAUUACUGGGUGUAAAGGGUGCGUAGGCGGUAUGGCAAGUCAGUUGUGAAACCCCCUGGCUCAACCAGGGGCUUGCAAUUGAAACUGUCAUACUAGAGUGCAGGAGAGGAAAGCGGAAUUCCUAGUGUAGCGGUGAAAUGCGUAGAUAUUAGGAAGAACACCAGUGGCGAAGGCGGCUUUCUGGACUGUAACAGACGCUGAGGCACGAAAGCGUGGGGAGCGAACAGGAUUAGAUACCCUGGUAGUCCACGCCGUAAACGAUGAGUGCUAGGUGUUGGGGUCUAAUUAGAUCUCGGUGCUGAAGUUAACGCAUUAAGCACUCCACCUGGGGAGUACGAUCGCAAGAUUGAAACUCAAAUGAAUUGACGG
This 918-nucleotide ribosomal RNA is filed under the name uncultured bacterium. RNAcentral describes it as "bacterial SSU rRNA". It matches the Rfam family "Bacterial small subunit ribosomal RNA", at positions 8 to 916 of the family's 1533-position model. The record is from RNAcentral.